RNAcentral lists this ribosomal RNA (118 nucleotides) under uncultured bacterium. Its description in RNAcentral is "partial 16S ribosomal RNA". It matches the Rfam family "Bacterial small subunit ribosomal RNA", at positions 1365 to 1482 of the family's 1533-position model. The record is from RNAcentral.
AAUACGUUCCCGGGCCUUGUACACACCGCCCGUCACACCACGAAAGUCGGCAACACCCGAAGCCGGUGGCCCAACCCUUUGGGAGGGAGCCGUCGAAGGUGGGUUGGCGAUUGGGGUG